RNAcentral lists this ribosomal RNA (380 nucleotides) under Bursina ignobilis. RNAcentral describes it as "partial 12S ribosomal RNA". The record is from RNAcentral. Lineage: Eukaryota; Metazoa; Mollusca; Gastropoda; Littorinimorpha; Bursidae.
UCUUGGUCGUAAAUAAAUAGGAAUUUACCGGAGUACUAUGAAUUAAUUAAAUAAAAUUUAAAACUCAAAGGGCUUGGCGGUGUUUUAGACCUCUCAGGGGAACCUGUCUCAUAAUCGACAAUCCACGCUAAACCUAACCUCUAUUUGCAACUCAGUUUGUAUACCGUCGUCGUCAGGUAACUUUUUAAAAAAAAGAAGUUGGCAGAAAAAUCAGUUAAAUUUAAACGUCAGAUCAAGGUGCAGCUUAUAUAGAGGUGAGGAUGGGUUACAAUUAACAUUUAUAACUACGGAUAGGAUAAUGAAAUUAUUUUCUUAAUGAAGGAGGACUUGAAAGUAAAAUAAAUUUAUAUAAAUAUUUUGAAUAAGGCUCUGAAACGUGC